UGAUUCUAAUGUUCAUGAGAUUAUGAUGCUGCCUAAAUUGGAUACAUUUGUUUUGCUUACAAAUGAAGGGCCUAGCUUGGAGAAGGAUGAACAUUGGAGCAAGAACACACAUGGAGUUGAUGGCAUGCGCAAGGGGAUCAAGAACGGAGUUACAAGUGAUGAUUUCAGGACUUUGAAGCCACCAUAAGGAGUGCAUGAAGCCUUGGACGAAAUAUACAAGAUGCCACUUCAUAAUAUUCGUCCAUAGGCUAUUCUAGGUGCUGCGUCACCUUAUUAAUGGGCCAGGCCCAUGUAAUUUCAGAAUACUUAAGUAUAGGCUAUUUUUAGAGUCCGUAUGUGUGGGGAAACAAGAGUUAGGGUUGGUUUCGGACCCCACCCUCAAGGGCCACGAAAUUCCCCCCUCUUCCUCCAUAUAUACAGCCCUUAGGGCGUCGUUUAGACUUUGGGUUUUGUUUAGAUUAAAAGUUCGCCAUAUCUGCAACUUCGCGUACUUCGUUUGUGUCCAACGACCAGACCAAGACAUCACAGAACCCCACCUGGAUCAAUCAAGCUUUCAUCUUAUAUUCGCAAUAUCCCGAUUGCAAUCUCAGUUUCUUGCUUGUUCUUCGUUUGCUCGCAGGAAACAGACCCUCGUGGUCAGGUUGAUCGUGCUCCGGCGUGGUCAAUAACCCUCGGAAGUUGGUUUAGCGAUUGCUAAGGCACGAUGUCUCGCACGUUCGUAAUCGGAUCGUCAAGGUCGACUCCCACAGGAAACGAUAGCCACCAUCUCAUCGAAACAUCGAGACACCUUAGCCUCUAUCAAGUGGUAUCAGAUUUCCAGGUUGCUCGGUGAGAUUUUACAGUUUUUCGUAGAUUAGAUUGAGUCUGUUCUGCAUACCUACAGUCCACGAAAAAGCCAGAAAAAAAUAGGGUUAGUUCAUCAUAUCCGAACCAAUCUGAGCCUUUGCAUAAUCUUUUUAGGGUUUUUGCUUUGUUGAAUUUGCGGUUGCAUCGUCGUGUCAAGUUGCUGGUCUUAGAGUCUAGUCUUUUAGAGUUUCGAGUUCUGGUCAUAAGUUGUCACGCCGCCGCCGCACCAUCAUCAUCGCCCAUCUACCACUUUUGCUUAUCCGCCACCGCUCUGAAUCCAUAUCCAUAUACCACCACCAAUCCGUAUCCAUAUACCACCACCAAUCUGUAUCCAUAUACCACCACCGCUACCAUAUACCACCACCGCUGCCAUAUACCACAACCAUAUAUCCACCACCAAUCCGAGUUCUUCUCAUAUUAGGUUUGUUCUUGAGAUCAAUCUAAAUUCUGAUUCGUGUUUCCUUGCGUGCGUAGGUCUCGGAAAAAAAAGAGUCUGGAGACCCCCGGGCAGUUUUUAGGCCAAAAUUUUCACGGGCAAAUUUUUUUUCCCUAUCCUAUUUUUAGGCUUUUCUGUGUCUUUUGAGCCACGUGCCAUCAUAGUGAUUUUUUGUCGCACUUUUUCGUCGUUGCUGCCCUGAUUUCCGAAAAAAGUGAAAAAAAAUUCCGUGCCCAUCCUAUCAGUUUGACGAGGGAAAAGUUUUGAGACACUCGCCAUUAUUGUGAUUUUUCGCAAAAAAAAGAGGAGCGCAAAAAAAAGGAUCGCAAAAAAAGAGCAAAAAAAAGAGUUCCAGAGUGUGCUUUUCCCUUAUUUACGUGCGGCGCCGUGAUUUUGUUAGUGUUCUAGGCUCGCAUCUCUAGCACGGUCUAGCCUAGGACCAGCACAGUACCGUCGUUGAGCGUUUAUUCAACUUUGCAUCUCUGAAUUGAUUAUUGCUGACCCUUUUUGCUACCAUACUAUAAGCCUUCCUAGCUCCACAUACAUCUACGUCGUGCGUUUGACUCUCCCUGGCAAUCGCUCUAUCCAAGCUUUUGAGAAGUUUUGACUACAACGGUUGCCGAUCACCGCCUGCUGCUGCGUAAGAACUGGUAAGAAUUUGAGAUUUGCUUGACGGAUUUGUGACACCCGCCACCACCACCACUUGUUAGUAGUCUGUAGGAUCAUAUUCUUGUGUGUUUCUAUUGCUGCUAACCAUGCCAGGAUCACAAGCCGAUGAGACUGACUGGGAGAACUUGACGAACAAGGAGCUUCAUGAUACGUUUCAACAAAUGAUGGGUGGACAGGUGCAAGAUGUGAUAAACAGAUUUGAAGAGGCCAUGGAAAAGAUAGAUGGCAUGGAGAAGACGUUUGAAACAAAGCUCGAUAAUAAGUUUGCUGAAUUGCUUUCGCAUUUUCCACCACCAUCACCGGCUGCUCCUGCCGCACCUCUGCAACAACAGCAACAACAUCGACUACCUCCACGUCGGGAAACAGCCCUCCGCCGAGCGAGCCGUGUCCCUCUUCAGUCGGGCCAAACUGCUGGUGCUGCUGUUGAUACUUCUGUGGCUCCUGCUGCUGAUGUGGAGGAGGAUGAUUAUGUGGGAGAUUAUGAGGAUGAGGUUGAUCAAAAUCAGAACUACGUGCCACCACCAGCACAGCAACCACCAGGUCGUCCACAUGCAAAUAAUGUCAAUGGUAGGGCUCACCCUCAAGUACGAGAUCAUGACCAUCUCCCUAAACUAAAAUUGAAUAUUCCACCAUUUGAGGGUAGAUAUGUUCCUGAUAUAUAUCUUACUUGGGAGUUAGAAACUGAACAACGAUUUACAUAUUUACAAUAUCCCGAGGAGAGACGUGUUCCUGCUGCUGUUUGUGCAUUCACUAGUUUUGCAUGUGUUUGGUGGUCUGAGCAUUGUAGAUUAUAUGCUAUUCUAGGUGCUGCGUCACCUUAUUAAUGGGCCAGGCCCAUGUAAUUUCGAAAUACUUAAGUAUAGGCUAUUUUUAGAGUCCGUAUGUGUGGGGAAACAAGAGUUAGGGUUGGUUUCUGACCCCACCCUCAAGGGCCACGAAAUUCCCCCCUCUUCCUCCAUAUAUACAUCCCUUAGGGCGUCGUUUGGACUUUGGGUUUUGUUUAGAUUAAAAGUUCGCCAUAGCUGCAACUUCGCGUACUUCGUUCGUGUCCAACGACCAGACCAAGACGUCACAGAACCCCACCUGGAUCAAUCAAGCUCUCAUCUUAUAUUCGCAAUAUCCCGAUUGCAAUCUCAGUUUCUUGCUUGUUCUUCGUUUGCUCGCAGGAAACAGACCCUCGUGGUCAGGUUGAUCGUGCUCCGGCGUGGUCAAUAACCCUCGGAAGUUGGUUUAGCGAUUGCUAAGGCGCGACGUCUCGCACGUUCGUAGUCGGAUCAUCAAUGUCGACUCCCACAGAAAACGAUAGCCACCAUCUCAUCGAAACAUCGGGACACCUUAGCCUCUAUCAAUCACUGUUACCGUUACUAUUGCUGCUGUCACUACUAUCAAAACUAUCAUAUUACUUUGCUACUGAUCACGUUGCUGCAGAUAAUUAAUCUCCAGGUGUGGUUGAAUUGACAACUCAGCUGCUAAUACCUUCAAGUAUUCUUUGGCUCCCAUUGUGUCAAAUCUAUAAAUUUGGGUUGAAUACUCUAUCCUCGAAAACUCUUGCGAUCCCCUAUACUUGUGGGUUAUCAUCUCACUAUCCUGAACCUUAUCUGCAUUACUUCUUCUACCAUUGCUUAAUAAGGCACUCUUCCCCAUAUUCUGUCAGCAUUCUAAAAUAAUAAACAAGAAGACGCAUAACAAGUUUAGCAUGUACUAGUAUAUGAAACUCAUUUCCGUGAACUAGUUCAUUAGUAAGGUGGACAGGAUUAAACUACCAAGUCUUCUAUUGCCAGGUAGUACAUAAUAAAAGCAUCAAACAAACAUAUAUUUAUGUCCUAUGGUCACUGCAUUGUCUUGCAAAUCAAAAUAGAGACACGGUUCAAAUCAUAUCAGUUCAAGACAAAGCAGCACUGAAAGAAUACAAAGCAUGGGAAACUACACGACAUAACAAGAUUUUAGAUGGGUACCACAGGUCUACAUGUACAACAACACUAUUGUCUCUGUUAUGAUGCUAGUAAUGUGCAUGAUAUGAGAAGUCAACUGUAUACACAAUUGAAAUUGAAAUCGACAGAGCUAUUUAUAAGAUCAAACCUGUUAAAGAAACACUGUUGUGCCAUUGGAGUUCUGAUUGGAUCCUUCAAUUUAAAAAUAAGUUUGUGUGAGUAAAUACAGUGAUACAAGAGUAAAACAGUUUGCACGAUAGCAAUGGAAUCUUAAAUGAGAAUAGUUGUUCUUCGGGUUUAAGUACUUGUUCUACAUGAACAGAGUACAAUAAGACGCAGACAUAUAGUACUUAAAAAUGAAAAAUGAGCUCAUAGACCUUACCAGAUUCUUGGUUCGGGACCAGUACAGAACAAGGCAUUCCCAACAAGGUUGUCAGAAUUGUGAUUCUGAAUCGAAUCGGAGCUCCAAUGGCAGGAUCACAAAUAGUAGAAUCUUCACUAUCAGGAUCGUAAAAACGUAGAUUCUAUGAACCAAAAUCGUAGAAUCAGAGGGGUUAGUUUGGAUCGUAAAGUCGUAGAAUCAUACAACAGAAUCGCGAUUCUAACAACCUUGAUUCCCAGUCAUCGUCCAGUCAAUGUGUCUCAGGAGAACGUAAGGGAAUUUGAUGAGUUUCUCUGCCAGUGAAGUACAUUUUCUUCAGGUAAUUCCGAUACUGCCACCAAGCAUUCUUGAAGAUAGCAGAGGUAUUAGCACAGCUCAUCCUCAGUUUCCAAAUCGGUCCUUCUCUAUAGAGAAAAAUGGGAAAAUUUGCUGUAUUAUCAUCAUCAUGGAGGUAGAAUGUAUGGGACAAGGCAAAUUAAUUGCCAUGAAUAACAUUACUUACACAUAACUCCGAGACAAACACCUGCAACUGGCAUUUUCCUUCAUCUUCAGUAUAAUAUUUCCAUGAUGGGAAGAUACACACAUAGGAUUUAACAACAUCAAAUGCGAUAGAUGCUAUACUACGAAUGGCUGGUUGUGCUUCCUCCACAGGAAUAGGUGUACUAACUGGUGGAGUUGGGGUUCGCCGUGGUAGUACUAGCAUUCUGGGCACGAGAGCUGCCUUACUAACUGAAAGUGCGUUAUAUCGACUAGAGGGGGGUGAAUAGGCGAUUUUUAUGAAAGUCUUCAAAACAUGGAAGUUUCGAAGACAAAUGAUAGAAAUAGACCUAUUACCAUGCAGCGGAAGGUAGACUACACUAGGCAAACCAUAGUCAAGUAUUCAAUGAAGUGAAAGCACAAUGACCUAUAGCAGCUAGGUAGUUAGGAUCAGGUAUGAAGAUAUUAUGAAGCCAAACAGAACACGCAGUCACUCAGUGAAGACAAAAGAUAGUGCAAUCAUACAAUGACUUCACAAGGACCAACAGUAAGUAAAGGGAAAGGAAGGAUGAAACCAGUGACUCGUUGAAGACAAUGAUUUGUUAGACCAGUUCUAGUUGCUAUGACAACUGUACGCCUGGUUAGGAUGGCUAGGUAUUUAAACCUGAGGACACACAGUCCCGGACACCCAGUCCUGAACACGCAGCUCAGGACACCCAGUCCUCACCGUAUUCCCCUUGAGCUAAGGUCACACAGACCUCGCCCAAUCACUCUGGUAAGUCUUCAAGGUAGACUCCCAAACCUUCACAGACUUCGUUCACCGGCGAUCCACAAUGACUCUUGGAUGCUCAGAACGCGACGCCUAACCGGCUGGAGGAUUCACAGUCCUCAAGUGUAAUAAGUCUUCAGAUCACACAGACAGGAAGACUUAAGUGAUGUCUAACACCCUUUGGCUCUGGGUGGUUAGGGCUUUAUCCUCACAAGGAAUUCUCUCUCAAAGGCUUCGAGGUGGGUUGCUCUCAAACGACAAAAGCCGUACUCUAACUCUGAGUAGCCAACCAUUUAUGGUUGUAGGGGGUGGGCUAUUUAUAGCCACUAGGCAACCCAACCUGAUUUGUCCGAAAUGACCCUGGGUCACUAAGGAACUAACACGUGUUCCAACGGUCAGAUUUCAAACACACACGGCAACUUUACUUGGGCUACAAGCAAAGCUGACUUGUCCAACUCUGGACAAGAUUCGCUCUCAUAGUCUUCACUCGAAGACAUAGGUUUUGGUUAAGCAUCACUUCAGUCAUUCUGACUGGUUCUCUUGGACCCCACUUAAUAGUACGGUGGUUCCUAUGACUCAACAAAGAAGAAAAAGAACUACGAAAGAUCGAAGUCUUCGAGGUCCAUAGGCUUCAUGCGAUGUCUUCUCUUGUCAUAGUCUUCAAUGUGAAUAUCUUCACAUACCACCUUUGACAUCAAUGUCUUCAUACAUUUUUAGGGGUCAUCUCUGGUAGGAAAACCGAAUCAAUGAGGGACUUCUACCUGUGUUAUCCUACAAUUCUCACAAACACAUUAGUCCCUCAACUAGGUUUGUCAUCAAUACUCCAAAAUCAACUAGGGGUGGGACUCGAUCCACUUACACUAACUACUCUUGUUUGGGAGCUCUAUCAUGGAGAUGGUGCUGUGUCAACAUGAACUGGGUUACUAUCUGCUGAGGUUGGGGUUAGAUUCGGUGAAGCUGGUUCUUUGUCCAUCGUAGUAGGGGUACAAUCUACGAGAGUCUGGGUUAUGUGUGGUAGGGCUGGUUCUCGUGCAUGUACAACCGGGGUGCUAUCUCCACCAAGAGGUAGCACUGUUUUAUUUGAAGACCGUGUUUUUACUCCGCUAGAUACUGCCAUCACCCGCUCCAAUUCAAAUGGCUGAUAAACAGGAAACAUAGUUGAAUGUACAAACAGUGUAUGAGAGACAGGUGCAAUAGAUAGUGUGGAAAAAAGAGGGCAUGAAAUAGUUGACAUGUAUAUUGUUUAACUAAAAAGGAUAGCAUGACAUAAUUUCACAUAUAUGAUGACUAACUAAACAGGAUGGCAUGAGAUAAUUAUAUGAUGUCUUUAGUAAAUAGGUUCACAUGACAUAAUUCAUAUACAUGUUAUCUAAGUAAUCAGGAUCGCAUGAUUUAAUUCACAUAUGUGAUUUAUAUGCUAAGCAAAGGGCAUUCACAUAUAUGAUGCCUGAACUAAGAACAUGGUGUUGAAUAUUGUCUAUAUGAUGUCUAAACUAUGCAAUGCAAGAAACCAUUUGCAUGAUAUGAGCAGUAUAACCAUGCCAAGUUAGAGCAUACACCUUAGUGGGGGAAUAGGACUGGUCAUCUGUCUCUGAAUCCAUCUCUGAGGAGCUAUCGAGACCCAGCAAGAGAGCAGCUUCGACAUGUAGCACUGUCUACUAUAAAGACCUUGUUUUCACUCCAGAUUUUCCCAUCACCCACUCAAUUGGCUGAUUCAUAGGAAGAGUAGUUUAAUGUACAAACAUUGUCGACAAAUGGAAAUUUAAUGAAGAAAGGAUGGGCAAGAUAUCAUUGAAAUAUAUGAUGCCUAGUUAAACAGGAUGGCAUUGCAUAUUUCACAUAUAUUAUGGCUGGCUAAAAGAGAUGAGACUGCAUAAUUCCCAUAUAUGAUAUAGAAACUAAACAUGUGGCAUUACAGAACAUGUCUAAACUAAGCAGAUGACAUAUAUGAUGUCGAAAGUAGGCACUGCAAGGGAACAUAUGCAUGAUAUGACCAACAUCAUCAUGCCAAGUUAGAGCAAACACCUUGGGGUGUAAAUAGGAGUGGCCAGCUGCGUCUGAAUCCGCCUCAGAACAGAUAUCUUCCUCUAGAUAAUAAUCAGGAGAGGGAGGGGGUUUGCCAUUGAACCCACCAUGGAGCCAUGUCUGCAUGACAUUGUAUUGCCGCGCAAAACUCUUCUCUUUUCAUCUACAUGUUCAGCAUGACUGUGUACAAUAUCUGACAUGCAUACGAAAAAAUAUAGCGAGAUUAUGUAAGGAGAGCAUGCAAAAAUCUAGAGUGAUGGUAACAGCGAGUGGAUGGAGUGGAUGGAUCCAAAAAUAAUGAUAGCUUUAAUUUAGUAAAAAUAUAGAUGAUGAUUUCUUUACUAUUUGUUUCCCACCCAAGAUGAACAGCAUAGGCAUACCCUAGGUGAACCAGAUAAUAGAUAUAGAUACUAUUCAUUGCUGCCUCGAUAUGUGACCCACAAGUAAUUUUAAAACUCAAGUUUGGACAUUAAUUUGGACCUGACUUGGAGUCUAAGAGGUGAACCUGACGAUAAAGUAGCAUGUAAUAUUAAGCAAUGCAUAACAUAAUCAGAAACAAAAGAGUGUGACUGAGGGCGUCCUGGAUUAGGGGGUGUUCGGAUAGCCGGACUAUACCUUCAGCCAGACUCCUGGACUAUGAAGAUACAAGAUUGAAGAUUUCGUCCCGUGUCCGGAAGGGACUUUCCUUGGCGUGGAAGGCAAGGUUGGUGAUACGGAUAUGAAGAUCUCCUACCGUUGUAACCGACUUCGUGUAACCCUAACCCUCUCCGGUGUCUAUAUAAACCGGAGGGUUUUAGUCCGUAGGACGACAUACACAUCAACAAUCAUACCAUAGGCUAGCUUCUAGGGUUUAGCCUCCUCGAUCUCGUGGUAGAUCUACUCUUGUACUACCCAUAUCAUCAAUACUAAUCAAGCAGGACGUAGGGUUUUACCUCCAUUGAGAGGGCCCGAACCUGGGUAAAACUUCGUGUCCCUUGCCUCAUGUUACCAUCCGGCCUAGACGCACAGAUCGGGACCCCCUACCCAAGAUCCGCCGGUUUUGACACCGACAUUGGUGCUUUCAUUGAGAGUUCCUCUGUGUCGUCGCCGUCAGGCUCGAUGGCUCCGGCGAUCAUCGAUAGCGAUGCAGUCCAGGGUGAGACCUUCCUCCCCGGACAGAUCUUCGUCUUCGGCGGGCCAGUUCGCUUGGCCGCCUGGAGCAGAUCUUUAGCUACGCCCCUGGCUGUUAGGUCAGAUUUGGAAGUUUAAACUACACGUCUGACAUCCGCAGGGACUUGAUCUUCGACGGAUUCGAGCCACUGCCGAGCGCGCCGUACUGUCACGACGAGCAUGAUCUAGCUCUGCCGCCGAACAGUGCCCUGGAGGCCGCACCCACAUCGGCUCCGACCCUUAAUUCGGAGCCAACUGCGCCGAUCGAGGAUGGGCGGUUGGAUGCCACCUCGAGGGCUGCGACCCCAAUGACGAUUGAGCCAAGCACCAGCCCCGUACUCUGCGAGACUCGUGACUCCAAGGAGCCGGACUCCUCUCCGGACUCUGAACCCUCCGCGCCCCUGCCGAUCGAAUCCGAUUGGGCGCCGAUCAUGGAGUUCACUGCCACGGACAUCUUUCAGCACUCGCCUUUCGGCGAUAUCCUGAAGUCAUUGAAGUCUCUCUCUUUAUCAGGAGAGCCCUGGCCGGACUACGGUUAGCAAGGUUGGGGUACGGACGAUGUAGAAAUUCAAAGCCCACCCACCACCCACUUUGUAGCCACUGUCGACGACUUAACCGACAUGCUCGACUUUGACUCCGAAGAUAUCGACGGUAUGGACGCCGAUGAAGGAGAUGAUGAAGAACCAGCGCCUACUAGGCCCUGGAAAGCUACCUCGUCAUAUGACAUAUACAUGGUGGACACCCCAAAAGAGGGAGAUGGCGAUGGAACAGCGGAGGAUGACCCCUCCAAGAAACAGCCUAAGCGUCAGCGUCAGCGGUGCCGCUCAAAAUCCCGCCAAAACAAACAAGGCGAUUCCAGCAGGGGAGAUAAUAAAUUAAUAAUACUCCAGAAAGCGCCGAAGAAAACCCCCUCCAGCAAGAUUUAGCACAGGAGGAUGGAGAAACCAGCCCUCACGAGAGAGCGGCAGACAGAGAGGUCGAGGACGAUAAUUAUAUGCCUCCCUCCAAAGACGAGGCAAGCCUCGACGACGAUGAAUUCGUCGUGCCAGAGGAUCCCGUCGAGCAAAAGCGUUUUCAACGCAGGCUUAUGGCCACGGCAAGAAGCCUUAAGAAAAAACAGCAACAACUUAGAGCUGAUCAAGAUUUGCUAGUCGACAGAUGGACUGAAGUCCUCAUGGCCGAAGAGCAUAAACUCGAACGCCCCUCCAAGAGCUACCCAAAGCGCAGGUUGCUACCCCGAUUAGAGGAGGAAGCACUUGAUGCGGCCGACCGGCCACCUCAUGGUCGCGACAGAGAGGCCUCUCGGCCCUCCACUCAAGCCGCACCCCAUACCAAGGCACGGGAAUAUGCGCCGGACUUACGAGACAUGUUGGAGGACAAGGCAAGGCAAACAAGAUCGACCUACGGAUUGCGUGGGUGCCCCACGGCUCGAGACGGUAACUUUCAUGCUGGCCACAAAUUCGGCGGGGCCGAACACAGUAGACAAGGCUCAUUGGAGCUACGUCACGAUAUAGCCCAGUACAGAGGCGCCGCACACCCACUCUGCUUUACAGACGAAAUAAUGGAUCAUCAAAUCCCCGAGGGUUUCAAACUCGUAAACAUCGAAUCAUAUGAUGGCACAACAGAUCCUGCGGUAUGGAUCGAGGAUUAUCUCCUUCAUAUCCACAUGGCCCGCGGCGAUGAUUUCCACGCCACCAAAUACCUCCCACUCAAGCUUAAAGGACCAGCUCGGCAUUGGCUUAACAGCUUGCCAACAGGAUCAAUCAGUUGUUGGGAGGACCUAGAAGCCGCAUUCCUCGACAAUUUCUAGGGCACUUAUGUGCGACCCCCAGACGCCGAUGACCUAAGUCACGCAAUUCAGCAGCCAGAGGAAUCGGCCAGGCAAUUUUGGACACGGUUCCUAACAAAGAAAAAUCAAAUAGUCGACUAUCCGGACGCUGAGGCCCUAGCAGCCUUCAAACACAAUAUCCGUGACGAGUGGCUGGCCCGGCACCUUGGACAGGAAAAGCCGAAAUCUAUGGCAGCACUCACGACACUCAUGACCCGCUUUUGCGCGGGAGAAGACAACUGGCUUGCUCGUAGCAACAAUAUGACCAACAACCCUAGUAAUUCGGACACCAGGGACAGUAGUGGCAUGUCGUGUCGCAACAAGCAGAAGCGCCGCAUUAACGACGACAAUGCUGAGGAUACAGCAGUUAAUGACGGAUUCAGAGGCUCUAAAUCCGGUCAGCGGAAAAAGCCAUUCAAAAGGAAUCCUAGGGGCCCGUCCAAUUUGGACCGAAUACUCGACCGCUCGUGCCAGAUACAUGGCACCCCCGAAAAGCCAGCCAAUCACACCAACAGGGAUUGUUGGGUGUUCAAGCAGGCAGGCAAGUUAAACGCCGAAAAUGAAGACAAGGGGCUGCAUAGCGAUGACGACGAGGAGCCCCGGCCGCCGAACAACAGUGGACAGAAGGGUUUUCCCCCACAAGUGUGGACGGUGAACAUGAUAUACGCAACCCAUGUCCCCAAAAGGGAGCGGAAGCGUGCAUUAAGGGACGUAUACGCGGUAGAGCCAGUCGCCCCAAAGUUCAACCCAUGGUCCUCCUGCCCGAUCACCUUUGAUCGAAGGGACCACCCCACCAGCAUCCAUCAUGGCGGAUUCGCCGCAUUGGUUCUAGACCCAAUUAUUGACGGAUUUCAUCUUACUAGAGUCCUUAUGGACGGCGGCAGCAGCCUGAACCUGCUUUACCAGGAUACAGUGUGGAAAAUGGGCAUAGAUCCCUCGAGGAUUAAGCCCACCAAAACGACCUCUAAAGGCGUAAUACCAGGUGUAGAGGCCAACUGUACAGGCUCAGUCACACUUGAAGUGGUCUUCAGAUCCCCAGAUAAUUUCCGAAGCGAGGAGUUAAUCUUCGACAUAGUCCCGUUUCGCAGUGGUUAUCCCGCACUGCUCGGGCGAACCGCAUUCGCUAAGUUCAAUGCAGUACCGCACUACGCAUACCUUAAGCUCAAGAUGCCAGGCCCUCGAGGAGUAAUUACGGUCAAUGGAAACACCCAACGCUCCCUCCGAACGGAGGAGCACACGGUGGCCCAUGCAGCGGAAGUACAAAGCAGCCUCUCCAGGCAGUUCUCCGGCCCGGCCACUAAACGACCGGACACCGUCAAGCGCGCCCGGAGUAACCUACAACAAGACUGCCUGGCACGAUCCGAGCAGGCAUAGCAAUGCGGCCCUAACCCCAACCCUCGCAAAAAGGCGACGCCAGUACUUCGCGUACAUAACUACGCUCUAGAGAUACCAUGGGUACAGGGGGAGGGUGAUAGAGACAAAGGUGUCCCAUCUUUCGAUGAGAUGAUGGAUAUCGCUUUGGUGGAAGUCGACUUUGACGAUCCGACUACGAACGUGCGAGGACGUCGCGCCUUAGCAAUCGCUAAACCAACUCCGAGAGGUUAUUGACCACGCCGGAGCACGAUCAACCUGACCACGAGGGUCUGUUUCCUGCGAGCAAACGAAGAACAAGCAAGAAACUAAGAUUGCAAUCUGGAUAUUGCGAAUAUAAGAUGAAAGCUUUAUUGAUCAAGGUGGGGUUCUGUGACGCCUUUAUCUGGUCGUUGAACACAAACGAAGUACGCGAAGUUGCAGCUAUGGUGAACUUUUAAUCUAAACAAAACCCAAAGUCUAAACGAUGCCCUAAGGGCUGUAUAUAUGGAGGAAGAGGGGGGAAUUUCGUGGCCCUUGGUGGAGGGGUCCGAAAUCAACCCUAUCUCUUGUUUCCCCACACAUACGGACUCUAAAAAUAGCCUAUACUUAUGUAUUUCGAAAUUACAUGGGCCUGGCCCAAUAAUAAGGUGACGCAGCACCUAAAAUAGCCUCGGGACGAAAUUUAUGAAGUGGCAUCUUGUAUAUUUCGUCCAAGGCUUCAUGCACCCAUUAUGGUGGCUUCAAAGUCCCGAAAUCAUCACUUGUAACUCUGUUCUUGUUCCCCUUGCGCAUGCCAUCAUCUCCAUGCUUGUUCUUGCUCCAAUGUUCAUCCUUCUCCAAGCUAGGCCCUUCAUUUGUAAGCAAAACAAAUGUAUCCAAUUUAGGCAGCAUCAUAUUCUCAUGAACAUUAGAAUCAUUACCAAGAAACGAAAGUACCUGGUAAUUUAGUUGGCGUGCACGAGCUCUAGUAAUUGGUCCAGUAUGUAUAGCAGCAGGGGCUGUGGGUGUAACAAUUGUAUUGAUGUCCUCAUCAUCCUCCCCUUCUUGAAAUGAAGUCGUCCUCGACGGAAGUUCAUCUUCCUCACCCAAAUACGGCUUCAAAUCUGCAAUGUUAAAAGUGGGACUAACCCCAAAAUCUGCAGGCAGCUCAAGUUUAUAUGCAUUAUCAUUUAUUUUCUCUAACACCUUAAAGGGACCAUCAGCACGUGGCAUUAACUUUGAUUUGCGCAAAUCAGGAAAUCUAUCCUUACGCAAAUGUAACCAAACAAGAUCUCCAGGUGCAAACACAACAUGUUUUCUACCCUUAUCUCCAGCAAGUUUAUAUUUAGCAUUCAUGCGCUCAAUGUUUUCCUUAGUUAACUCAUGCAUUUUUAAAAUCAAUUCAGCACGUUUUUUAGCAUCAAAAUUAACCUUCUCCGAAGAUGGAAGAGGCAACAAAUCAAUAGGUGCAUGAGGUAGGAAACCAUACACAACUUCAAAAGGGCACAUCUUAGUAGUAGAAUGCAAUGAACGAUUAUAAGCAAAUUCAAUAUGAGGCAAGCAUUCCUCCCACAUUUUCUUAUUAUUCUUCAAAACAGCCCUAAGCAUAGUAGACAACGUUCUAUUGACUACUUCAGUUUGUCCAUCAGUUUGGGGGUGACAAGUAGUACUAAAAAGCAGUUUAGUCCCCAACUUAGCCCAUAAACAUCUCCAAAAGUGGCUAAGAAAUUUAGUAUCACGAUCUGAAACAAUAGUAUUUGGCACACCAUGCAAGCGAAUAAUUUCACGAAAGAACAAAUCAGCAACAUUAACAGCAUCAUCGCUUUUAUGACAUGGUAUAAAGUGUGCCAUUUUCGAGAAUCUAUCCACGACAACAAAUAUGCUAUCCCUCCCCUUCUUUGUUCGAGGUAAACCUAAAACAAGGUCCAUAGAUAUAUCCUCCCAAGGAACACUAGGUACAGGCAAAGGCAUAUAUAAACCAUGAGGAUUGAGUCGUGACUUAGCUUUUUGACAUGUAGUGCAGCGAGCAAUAAAACGCUCAACAUCCCGUCUCAUCUUUGGCCAAAAGAAAUGUGUAGCACGUACGUCCUCCGUCUUCUUCACGCCAAAGUGUCCCAUUAAUCCUCCUCCAUGCGCCUCCUGCAACAACAAAAGACGAACGGAGCUAGCUGGAAUGCAUAGCUUGUUAGCACGAAACACAAAUCCAUCGUUAACAACAAACUUGUUCCACAUUCUUCCUUCUUUACAAUUCUGCAUUACAUCUUUAAAAUCAACAUCAUGCACAUAUUGAUCUUUGAUGGUCUCCAAACCAAAUAUUUUGAAGUCAUGUUGUGAAAGCAUAGUAUAGCGACGAGACAAUGCAUCAACAAUAACAUUUUCUUUUCCCUUCUUGUGUUCAAUGACAUAAGGGAAAGUCUCAAUGAAUUCAACCCAUUUAGCAUGUCUACGAUUCAGUUUAGCUUGACUUUUAAUAUGUUUCAAAGAUUCAUGAUCAGAAUGUAUAACAAAUUCUUUGGGCCAUAAAUAAUGUUGCCAUGUUUCUAAAGUCCGAACAAGAGCAUAUAAUUCUUUAUCAUAAGUAGAAUAAUUCAGACUAGGCCCACUCAAUUUUUCAGAAAAGUAUGCAACAGGUUUGCCAUCUUGUAAUAACACACCUCCUAAUCCAAUUCCACUAGCAUCACAUUCAAGCUCAAAAGUCUUAUUAAAAUCAGGAAGUUGGAGUAAAGGAGCAUGUGUCAACUUAUCUUUCAAUACCGUGAAGGCUUCUUCCUGUGCAGUACCCCAAAGAAAAGGCACAUCUUUCUUUGUAAGCUCAUUGAGAGGUGCAGCAAUGGUGCUGAAAUCUCUCACAAAACUCCUAUAGAAUCCAGCGAGGCCAAGAAAACUCCUCACUUGUGUGACCGUUUUGGGCUGCGGCCAACUCUCAAUAGCUUCAAUCUUGGCUUUAUCAACUUCAAUUCCCUGUGGAGUAACAACAUAGCCAAGAAAAGAUACUCGGUCGGUGCAAAAGGUGCACUUCCCAAGGUUACCAAACAAACGUGCAUCACGUAGAGCAAUAAAAACAUCACGUAAAUGUUCCAAAUGUUCUUCCAAAGAUCUGCUAUAAAUCAAUAUGUCAUCAAAGUAAACUACCACAAAUCGUCCAAUGAAAGCACGUAAAACUUCGUUCAUUAAUCUCAUGAAAGUACUAGGUGCAUUAGUUAACCCAAAAGGCAUGACUAACCACUCAUAUAAUCCAAACUUAGUUUUGAAUGCUGUUUUCCAUUCAUCUCCUAAUUUCAUACGAAUUUGAUGGUAUCCACUACGCAAAUCAACUUUGGAGAAUAUUGUAGAGCCACUCAAUUCAUCAAGCAUAUCAUCUAGCCUAGGAAUAGGAUGACGAUAACGAAUAGUAAUAUUAUUAAUGCCUCUACAAUCAACACACAUACGUGAUGUACCAUCCUUUUUCGGCACUAGAAUAAUAGGAACAGCACAAGGACUAAGGGAUUCGCGUAUAUAACCUUUGUCGAGAAGCUCUUGUACUUGACGCAUAAUCUCCUUCGUCUCCUCUGGAUUGGUACGGUAUGGUGCACGGUUUGGCAGUGAAGCACCGGGAAUUAAGUCAAUCUGAUGCUCAAUCCCUCGAAUAGGCGGUAAUCCCGGUGGGACGUCUUGUGGAAAGACGUCAGCGAACUCCUGCAAAAUGUUAGUGACAGCAGGAGGCAAAGAGGAAGGCACGUCCUCGAACGAAAAUAAUGCCUCUUUGCACACAAAAGCAUAGCAAACAGAUUUGCUGAAAUCUAGCUCAUCAAUAUCAGAUUUGGUGGCAAAUAAACAUGCACUUUUCAAUUUAAUUUCAGAAGCAACACUAGAUGGUUUAUUAUUAGGCUUCAUUUGUUGCUCAAAUUCUUUUGCCACAAUCUGAUUUUCACUCUUAUUCUUCUCCUGUUGUGCUUUAUUAGCUCUAUUAAUAUCAUCUUUCAAAAUGGAAUCAGGAGUCAUAGGAAGCAAAGUAAUAUUUUUAUCCUUAUGAACAAGAGUAUAGUUAUUGUUUCUACCAUGGUGUACAGAAUUUUUAUCAAAUUGCCAUGGUCUACCAAGUAAUAAGGAACAUGCUUGCAUAGGUACCACAUCACAAUCAACAUAAUCAGCAUAUGUAGAGAUACUAAAAUGCACACGAACAGUACGUGUUACCUUAACCUUGCCGCUGUUGUUGAACCAUUGCAUGUAGUAAGGAUGUGGAUGUGGUCUUGUGGUGAGAGAACGCUUCUCCACCAUCUCCAUGCUAGCCAAGUUGUUGCAGCUCCCUCCGUCUAUUAUGACGCGCACAGAACGUUCCUUCACAACUCCCUUGGUAUGGAACAAAUUGUGCCUCUGAUUUUGCUCAGCUUGUGUGACCUGCACACUCAAAACACGUUGAGCAACUAAACAUUCAUACCUGUCAGCGUCUUCAGGAGCCAUGUAUUGCGUCUCAUGAUCAGAAUCAUCUCCACCAUGUUCUUCACGUGUAAUAAGAGCCAAUGUCUCCUCAUCAUAGUCACUAGCGGACUCAUAUCCACCAUCCGCGGUAGCAAUCAUCACACGCGGAGAUUUGCAUUCCCUCGCAUAAUGACCUCCUCCCUUACAACGACGACAAAUAAUAUCACUUGUGUGCCCUGUUGAUGCCAUGGAAGAAGAAGAACGCUGUGCAGGCCCCGCAGGUGCGCUCUUAGCCGAUAAUGGUGGUUGUUCCUGUUUUCUUGUAUCACGACUGUAGGAGGCACCUGAUUGAGGUGCUGGUGCAGUUGAAGUAGAAGAUGCACGUGGCGUCCAUGAGGAAGGUCGGCCUGCAGAAAAGUUAGUUCGCGCCAAUGCUUGUCGAUCCUGCACUUCACGUUCAGCUUUACAAGCAAGAUGGAAUAAACGAGUGAUAUUAGUAUACUCCUUAUAGUCUAGAAUGGUCUGAAUCUCUCUAUUUAAUCCACCCAGAAAACGUGCAAGCAUGGCUUCAUUCUCCGCAACAAUACCUCAUCGAAUCAUGCCAGUUUGUAAUUCCUGAUAAUAUUCUUCUACAGAAUUUUUUCCUUGUCUUAAACGCUGCAAUUUUUGAAGCAAUUCAUGUUGAUAAUAUGGUGGAACCCAACGCGUACGCAUAGCAGUUUUCAAAGCAGCCCAAGUAGUUGGAAUAGGAUAUAAUCUACAAUGUUCAGACCACCAUACACAUGCAAAACUAGUGAAAGCACAAACAGCAACAGCAACUCGUCUCUCCUCAGGAUAUUGUAAACAUGUAAAUCGUUGUUCAGUUUCUAACUCCCAAGUAAGAUAUAUAUCAGGAACAUAUCUACCCUCAAAUGGUGGAAUAUUCAAUUUCAGUUUAGGAAUAUGGACAUCAUCUCGUACCUGAGGUGGUGGUGCAGGCCUACCAUUACGAAUAUAUACCUGAGGUCGACCUGCUGGUGGUGGUGCUGGUGGCUGCUCGUAGAUCUUAUUUUGAUCAACCUCAUCCUCAUAAUCGCCUGCAUACUCAUCAUCCUCCUAGGUACCAGCAGGAGCAGUAGCAGGAGCCAAAGAAGCACCAACAGCAGUAACAGCGGCACCAGAAUUUUGUCCUGGCACAAUAGGAACACGCUGUGCUCGUCCAUACUGAUUCGGAAGGGGGCGUAGUUGUUGUUGUUGCAGAGGUGCGACAGGUGCAGCCGGUGGUGGAAGACGCGCAAGCAGUUCAUUAAAUCUGUUAUCGAGCUUUGUUUCGAACGUCUUCUCAAGGCCAGUGAUCUUCUCCAUGGCCUCUUCAAAAUUGUUCAGCACAUCUUGUACCUGUUCAGUCAUCAUUUGCUGAAACUUAACAUGAAGCUCCUUGUUCGAUAAGUUCUCCCAGUCAAUCUCGUCGGCUUGUGAUCCUGGCAUGGUUAGCAGCAAUAGAAACACACAAGAAUAUGAUCCUACAGACUACUAAGAAGUGGUGGUCGUGUAUCACAAAUCCGUCAAGCAAAUCUCAAAUUCUUACCAGUUCUUACCCAGCAGCAGGCAGUGAUCGGCAACCGUUAUAGUCAAAAAACUCUCAAAGCUUGGAUAGAGCGAUUACCAGGGAGAGUCAAACACACGACGUAGAUGUAUGUGGAGCUGGGAAGGCUUAUAGUAUGGUAGCAAAAAGGGUCAGCAAUAAUCAAUUCAGAGAUGCAAAGUUGAAUAAACGCUCAACGACGGUACUGUGCUGGUCCUAGGCUAGACUGUGCUAGAGACGCGAGCCUAGAACACCAACAAAAUCACGGCGCGGCACGUAAACAAGGGAAAAGCACACUCUGAAAAAAAAAAUUCGCUCUUUUUUUUGCGUUGUUUUUUUUUUGCGAAAAAUCACUAUAAUGGCGAGUGUCUCAAAACUCUUCCUAGGUCAAACUGACAGGAUGGGCACGAAAAUUUUUUUUUCGACCAAUUUUUUUUUCAACUGCCCGGACCCAAAAACUGGAAACAGGUCAAAAAAACUUCCUAUAAUGGCACCUGUCUCAAAACACUCAGAAACACCUAAAAAUAGGAUAGCCAGAAUUUUUUUUGAAAAAUGCGUUUUCGAAAAAUUUUGGGCCUAAACGGAGCGUGGCUACCCGACUCCGGCAAGGAAACACGAAUCGGAAUCUAGAUGGAUCUCGAAAACAAACCUAAUAUGCAAGGAACUCGGAUUGGUGGUGGAUAUAUGGUGGUGGUAUAUGGCAGCGGUGGUGGUAGCGGUGGUAGUAUAUGGAUAUGGAUAUGAAUCGGUGGUGGUAUAUGAAUCGGUGGUGGUAUAUGGGUACGGAUUCGGAGCGGUGGCGGAUAAGCGGUGGUGGUAGAUGGCAGGGGCGAUGAUGAUGGUGCGGCGGCGGCGUGACAACUUAUGACCAGAACUCGAAACUCUAAAAGACUAGACUCUAAGACCAGCAACUAGACACGACGAUGCAACCGCAAAUUCAACAAAGCAAAACCCUAAAAAGAUUAUGCAAAGGCUCAGAUUGGUUCGGAUAUGAUGAACUAACCCUAAUUUUUUUGUGGCUUUUUCGUGGACUGUAGGUAUGAAGAACAGACUCGAUCUAAACUACGAAAAACUGUAAAAUCUCACCGAGCAACCUGGAAAUCUGAUACCACUUGAUAGAGACAAAGGUGUCCCGUCUUUCGAUGAGAUGAUGGAUAUCGCUUUGGUGGAAGUCGACUUUGACGAUCCGACUACGAACGUGCGAGGACGUCGCGCCUUAGCAAUCGCUAAACCAACUCCGAGAGGUUAUUGACCACGCCGGAGCACGAUCAACCUGACCACGAGGGUCUGUUUCCUGCGAGCAAACGAAGAACAAGCAAGAAACUAAGAUUGCAAUCUGGAAAUUGCGAAUAUAAGAUGAAAGCUUUAUUGAUCAAGGUGGGGUUCUGUGACGCCUUUGUCUGGUCGUUGAACACAAACGAAGUACGUGAAGUUGCAGCUAUGGCGAACUUUUAAUCUAAACAAAACCCAAAGUCUAAACGAUGCCCUAAGGGCUGUAUAUAUGGAGGAAGAGGGGGGAAUUUCGUGGCCCUUGGUGGAGGUGUCCGAAAUCAACCCUAUCUCUUGUUUCCCCACACAUACGGACUCUAAAAAUAGCCUAUACUUAUGUAUUUCGAAAUUACAUGGGCCUGGCCCAAUAAUAAGGUGACGCAGCACCUAAAAUAGCCUCGGGACGAAAUUUAUGAAGUGGCAUCUUGUAUAUUUCGUCCAAGGCUUCAUGCACCCAUUAUGGUGGCUUCAAAGUCCCGAAAUCAUCACUUGUAACUCCGUUCUUGUUCCCCUUGCGCAUGCCAUCAUCUCCAUGCUUGUUCUUGCUCCAAUGUUCAUCCUUCUCCAAGCUAGGCCCUUCAUUUGUAAGCAAAACAAAUGUAUCCAAUUUAGGCAGCAUCAUAUUCUCAUGAACAUUAGAAUCGUUACCAAGAAACGAAAGUACCUGGUAAUUUAGUUGGCGUGCACGAGCUCUAGUAAUUGGUCCAGUAUGUAUAGCAGCAGGGGCUGUGGGUGUAACAAUUGUAUUGAUGUCCUCAUCAGAGGGGCACCAUCACGGCACGCCCAAAACACGGCUUAAACCGUACCAGGGGCUGCCAAUUUUUUAAUUUUCUUUUACUUUCAAGACUCCAUCCUUCGGAAGGCCUAUUCGGCAGUUCAAUUGCCGCACAAACGAUGCAAGAACCAGGGAAGCAGACAAGCCACGUCGCAUUACGGAACUCCCAGGUGGUCUCUAUCACGAGCAGUAUACCCGUUCCGCAUACUAUUCCGCAGCUUGCCCCUGGAACGGACAUGUUAACUAGUCCAACCUUCCACUUAUCGCAUUGUUUGUAUCGUUCUGCUUUGAUCGCAGCCCUUUUUAAUAAACAAUGCAUAGCUUUCGUCUAUUUUUGCAUUACCUUUUUUCUUUAUAUAUGUUCCUUAACGACAUGUUACACCCGUACACGUUGGUACGGUCAAAAUACGCCAGGGGCUUUAGUACCCCUCAAUAUGGUGUAAGAAGUCCAAACACUUUAACAAGUGCGGCACCCCGAAUUUAUAACAUUAUAUGCAUCGGCUCCGGAUCAUGUCUUGGGUCAAUAGUUGGGUUUGCCCGGCUCCUAUGUUUUGGUGCCUUACGUUCCGCUAUAUCGGCUAAGGUAGCACUAGGAGAACCACUGCGAUUGUGCCCUAGUUGAGCUGGGUCGAGCACCUCAGUGGAGAAAGCUAAAACUGACUGUCAUGAUGAAGCGAGAGCUGGUCGCUGUUCGAGUGGUUUUUUCGAGUCCCUAAAGACUUAUGCCGCUUAGGGCGAGGAGCCGGCUCUGUCCGGCCAAGGCGUUGAUAGCGCCCCGAACUCGGUCUUCUGAAUACCAGGGGCUUCGCCGAAAUUUAAAAUUAUAGAAUUCUAUGGCUAAGUGAGAGUGUUCACGCAUUAUAGUCCGAUUGCCUUGUUCGUUGGGCUGAGCGCCUCCCUCGAAGGACCCAAACAUGGGAAAAAGAGCGCUCAGGUUUAUCCCCGAACACCCCAGCACUAGCGGCACGGGGGCAGAAGCCGAUGACUCGCCAUCUCUCAGAAUUGAUAAACAGCCGCACAGGAGGUAAUAUUUUAAAUUCCAACAGCAUUGCUUAGCGCAUAUAAACAAGUUUUCAGCGUACAGGACAAAACGAGCAAGUUUCACUCAAAAAUUACAUCCCUAGAACAUUCAUCCGCCACAAGGCGGGCACCCUUCAGAACAUCCUUAUAGUAAUUCUCAGGCUUGCGAUGCUCUUUCCCCGGCGGUGGCCCAUCCUUCACAAGCUUCUCAGCAUCCAGCUUGCCCCAGUGCACCUUAGCAUGGGCAAGGGCCCUACAGGCACCCUCAAUGCAGACGGAGCGCUUGAUGACUUCGUGCCUUGGACAGGCCUCCACCAGCCGCCGCACCAGCCCGAAAUAGCUCCCAGGCAGAGCCCCUCCAGGCCACAGCCGAACAAUGAGGCCCUUCAUGGCCUGUUCGGACGCCUUGUGGAGCUCGACCAGUUGCUUCAGUUGGUCGCUCAGGGGCACGGGAUGUCCGGCCUCAGCAUACUGAGACCAGAACACCUUAUCCGUCGAGCUUCCCUCCUUGGCUCGAUAGAAUAUAGCGGCAUUGGACACACUCCGGGGAAGAUCUGCAAACGCUCCUGGAGAGCUCCAGAUUCGGGUAAGUAAAAAGUAACUCAUGUUUAUGUGUUUGCUUUGCAUAAAGAAUGCCUUACCCGCCACUAUCUUCUUCACCUCAUCCAACUCUUGGAGGGUCUUCUGGGAUUCGGCUUUGGCAGACUUGGCAUUUUCAAUAGCCACCACGAGCUCGGACGCUCGCGUCUUUGAGUCAAGCUCCAAACUCUCAUGUUUUUCCAUGAGAGCCUGGAGCUCUUGCCGCACCUUGCCAACCUCGGCCUCAUACUUCUCCCGCUCGGUGCGCUCCGAGGCCGCACUCUUCUCGGCCUCGACCAGCGCUCGCUUAAGGGUCACCACCUCAGACGUGGCCCCUACAAUAGCCACAAUAAUCCUGUCAUUCUUUGCAACUGCACCUUUUUAUAUAUAUUUCUAACAAGGUAUUUCUUACCUUCGUUGUCCUCGAGCUGCUUCUUGGCACGACCGAGCUCUUGCUCGGACCGCUCAAGGUUCUGCUUUAGCGUGUCCACUUCCGCAGUCAGUGCGGCGGACGCAAGCAAAGAAGCCUGCAUACGCAUAUUGACUCCUUUUGUUAGACUCCUGUGAAUUUUAUUUGAUCCUCUAUUCGGCUUUUCUUCCCGAAUGCCAAACAGAGCAUCAGGGGCUACUGUCUAUGCGGUAAUAUUAUUUACACAUUCUUUACUUACCCCAAAGCCUGUCAAAAGGCUAGUACAAGCUUCAGUCAGUCCGCUCUUAGCGGACUGAACCUUCUGGACCACCGCACUCAUAAUGGCACGGUGCUCCUCGUCAAUGGAGGCGCCUUGGAGCGCCUCCAACAUAUUGUCUGGCGCCUCCGGUUGGACGGGGGCCACCGGCACGGCGGACUUGCUCCUCUUGGAAGGAGGUCCCCCGCCGGACUCUAGAACCUCUGAAGGUUCCGGAGCGGUGUCCGGCCUAGAGCCGGACUUGGAGCCCCGAGGGGUUUCAUCCCCUUUACUCCUGGAGUCCAGGAGGUUGCCUUGCGGCGCCUCCAGGACCACCUCCUCCCAGCUUGGAACCUGUUGAGACAACACUUCGGUGUCGUCCGUCGGGCGGGGGAAGGAAGCCGUCGGAAGCGAGUUCACAUCCGACGAGUCCAGUGAGCCGCUCGACGAUGCGUCGAGCCGGUCUUUGGGUGGGCUGCAUAAACAUAUUCGACAUGAGCGAAAGCUAUGCAAUAAACGAAUACUAUGAAUUACUUUGGUAUCCGGAUACUUACGAUUUGGCCAGGGGCUUGGCCCUAGGCGCCCACUCCUCUCCGCCGCCGUCGGCGUUGGUGGAGCAGUCCGGAGGAAGGCUUUUCCCCUUCUUGGACCCUUCGGCCUCCCCAGUUGGGGCGGCCUUCCUUUUCUUCCCUUCCCCCGCUGGAGGGGGAGGGGUCUCUUCUUCCUCCUCCUCGUCUUCGCGGGAGGAGUGCGUCUUGGAUUCGUCGGAUGAUGAAUCCGACACCUCCGGGCGCCGGGCACUCUUUCGAGUCCCCGUGGCCUUCUUCUUGACCUUCUUCUCCGGCACCACAUACGGUGCCGGAACCAGCAGCUUCGCCAAGCGAGCUUCCGUUGGGCCUUCGGGCAAAGGAGCCGGACAAUUGAUCUGUCCGGAGGUCACCUGCCAAUCUUGUCAAAGGUAAGGGAGUUUAGAUCCCGCAUGGAGUCAAACUAUGAAAAACUGGUACCCUGUAAAAGGAAAAAAUAGCUUACCGCGAGAGCGUGACACUGCACACUGAAUCAAUGAUCCUCAGUAGCGGAUGCGGGAGCCUCGGCGCCCUUGAAAAGCACCUUCCAGGCAUCUUCGUAUGUCAUGUCGAAGAGCCUGCUCAGAGUUUGGUGCAGCGCCGGGUCGAACUCCCACAGGUUGAAAGCCCGUUGUUGGCAUGAGAGGAUCAAGCGGAUGAGCAUAACCUGGAGUACGUUGACAAGUUUGAGCUUCUUGUCCACCAGGGUUUUGACGCAUGUUUGGAGUCCGGUUAGCUCUCCUUUUUUUACCCCACGAUAGGCCCGUCUCUUUCCAGGACGUGAGCCGCGUUGGGGGUCCGGACCGAAACUCGGGGGUUGCGACCCAUUCGGCGUCGCGCGGCUCGGUGAUGUAAAACCACCCCGAUUGCCACCCCUUCAGGGUCUCCACAAAGGAGCCCUCGAGCCAGAGGACGUUGGCCAUCUUGCCCACCAUGGCGCCUCCGCACUCCGCCUGGCUGCCGCGCACCACCUUCGGCUUGACGUUGAAAGUCUUGAGCCAGAGCCCGAAAUGGGGGCGGAUGCAGAGGAAGGCCUCGCACACGACGAUAAACGCCGACAUGUUGAGGACGAUGUUCGGGGCCAGAUCAUGGAAAUCCAGGCCGUAGUAGAACAUGAGCCCUCGGACAAAUGGGUGGAGAGGGAAGCCCAGUCCGCGGAGGAAAUGGGGGAGGAACACCACCCUCUCAUGGGGCCUAGGGGUGGGGAUGAGCUGCCCCUUUUCGGGGAGCCGGUACGCGAUGUCGUUAGACAGGUAUCCAGCCUUCCUCAGCUUUUUGAUAUGUCCCUCCAUGAUGGAGGAGACCAUCCACUUGCCUCCCGCUCCGGACAUGGCUGGAGAAGGUUGAGGUGGGGAGUGCGGACUUGGGCGCUGGAGCUCGAGUGCGCAAGAAUGGAUAGGCGAAGGAGGAAGAAGGCGUAGGUGAAAAGGUGGAUCCUUAUCCCCUUAUAUGGGUGGACACAACUACAUCUCCCCACCAGCCUGGUAAAACUCGCUUAUCUCCAAGCACCAUAAUCAAUGGCGCGGUUGGGUUACCCACGCCCGUAUUGAUGAGAAUCCCGAAAUAAGGGGACACGAUCUUUGCUUUAACAAGACGUGCCAAGGAAACCGCCUCGCAUAACGCGCUGAGAUGGGACAGUAAAACGGUUCGAAUAAAAGCUUGGCCGUGGUGUGAUGUCACACUACGGAAUACGUCAGCAGAUUAGAUUUGUGUAAAUAUUAUUCUCUCUAUGGCAAUAUGUGGAAACUUAUUUUGCAGAGCCGGACACUAUCUUUGUGUUCAAAACCUUCUAUGAAGUACUCGGAGGAGGAACCCGCCUUGCAAUGCCGAAGACAAUCUACGCGCCAGACUCAUCGUCAUUGAAGCCUGGUUCAGGGGCUACUGAGGGAGUCCUGGAUUAGGGGGUGUUCGGAUAGCCGGACUAUACCUUCAGCCGGACUCCUGGACUAUGGAGAUACAAGAUUGAAGAUUCCGUCCCGUGUUCGAAAGGGACUUUCCUUGGCAUGGAAGGCAAGCUUGGCGAUAUGGAUAUGAAGAUCUCCUACCAUUAUAACCGACUUUGUGUAACCCUAACCCUCUCCGGUGUCUAUAUAAACCGGAGGGUUUUAGUCCGUAGGAUGACAUACACAUCAACAAUCAUACCAUAGGCUAGCUUCUAGGGUUUAGCCUCCUCGAUCUCGUGGUAGAUCUACUCUUGUACUACCCAUAUCAUCAAUACUAAUCAAGAAGGACGUAGGGUUUUACCUCCAUCGAGAGGGCCUGAACCUGGGUAAAACUUCGUGUCCCUUGCCUCCUGUUACCAUCCGGCCUAGACACACGGAUCGGGACCCCCUACCCGAGAUCCGCCGGUUUUGACACCGACAGUGACCUCUCUUCUAGACCCGUGUACUCCUCAGGCUCAUCUGCUGAGUCGAUGAUGGUGAUGCAGUUGUGGUGGGUGCCGGCGGCAGGGAAGGAGAUAUGAGUCGAUGAAAGACGGCAGGAGUCAUGAUGUCUGGUUUGGUGGAUGCUUCUGUCGAUGGAGCAGCUCAGGUGAGGUGGACGACGUCGCGGCAUGAGCAGGACAAACCACACAAAGUUUUCUUCGACACCUACCUGUAACUGAAGUAAUUCUGUAAGGGCUCCUUUGGCUUGCAGAAUUCUAAAAACGUAGGGAUAGGAAAAACACCGGAAUAGGUUAGGAAUGCACGUGGAAAACAGAGCAUUGUAAACACAAGAUUUCUGUCAACUUGUGUGUUUGGUUCAUAGUUAUUGUAAGAGCAGAGGAAUGCAAAGAAACAUGGCCAAAUUAAAGUGAAACCAUAUGAAAGCGUGUACAAUUAGAAUGUUAUUCUGCCACUAAUGCACUUGGUCUUGUUUUCAUGCAUAGGAUUUUGAAAAGUAGGUCUAGGUGGAUGUUUUGCUCCAUUCCUUUCAACAAAGUGCAUGAAUAAUUAGAGUGCCAUAGGAAAAUUUCCUAUUGCUAUGUUUUUCCUUCACUUUUUCCUUUGAACCAAAAUAGCCCUAAUGGAUCGACAUGAAUGUAGAGUAAUAAAUGAUGUGACAAGUGUACAACCUCUUUGCCGUAGCCGUGUUGACCUUAGCAUCAUUGGGUUGGUUGCUGAAGAAGUUAAGGCAGAGGUGGCUAUCGGAGGUGUGGAGGAAGAUCUGGGGAAUCUAUAGGCAGCGUCCAGGGCACUGCUCUGUUGUGAUGGAUGAUUUCGUCGUUGGAGCAGCUCCGGCGAGCUGUAAGAUGUCGAGGCUGAAGCAGUACAAGACAGACAUCAUUAAUCUCAAGUGGGAUUCUAAUAGCAUCUGCAAUAGAUGAUGUAAAAUACAUUACCAAAAAGCGAUCAAUGUAAAAUUUACAUCACCAAAAUCACCUGACUACAAAGAUGAGGUAAAAACCGUUGACUCUGAACUUAACUGUUGAAACUGAAAUUUACUGUGGAAUCUAAAUGUUACUCCCGAAACUGAACACACUGGUAACAGAGAGGGACUUCACAUGUAGUUUAGGCCGCUCGAGCACUAGUAGUAGAGAAACAAUGAUCUAAAUCAACAGGCGAUCGACGGGGAAUACAGUAGCAGAUAGAAGCUGGAGCAGCAAUGCUUGGAGGAGGAGCAUGAACUAGAGCCAGAGCAGCAAUUCGUGUAGCUACAGCAGCCCGUGUUCCAGCAUCUGCAGCGCGAGUGAGAGCAAGAGCAGAGCAGCAGCACGAGCGAGGGGGAGAGCAAAGCAGAAGCACGAGCGAGAGCCAGAGAAGCAGCAGCAGCGCGAGUGAGCGAGCGAGAGCUGGAGCAGCAGCAGCAGAUCCGGCUGGUAUGGACACCAUGACCGAAAGGGCCUGCACUGAGGGAGAGCUACCAUGGAGAUGUCGCCGGCGGCGCCGGCUUCGAGGUAUCCGCGCCAUGGGGGUGCGGGAUGGAGCACCGUCAGCGCCGGGAGGUCGAGUUAAGGAGAAGGUGCGAUGCAAUGAGUGUAUAAUACGUCUCCAACGUAUCCAUAAUUUUUGAUUGUUCCAUGCUGUUAUAUUGUCAAUCUUGAAUGUUUUACAAUCAUUUUAUAGAAACUUUAUAUCAUUUUUUGGGACUAACCUAUUGACAUAGUGCCCAGUGCCAGUUGAUGUUUUUUGCUUGUUUUUUGCUUUGCAGAAAAUCAAUACCAAACAGAGUCCAAACACAGCUAAACUUUUCGGAGAUUUUUUUCUGGACCAGAAGACACCAAUUGGGCCAAGAAAGUACCUGAGGGGAGCUUCGAGGGGAGCACAACACACCAGGGCACGCCUGGGGUCCCAGGCGCGCCUAGGUGGGUUGUGCCCACCUCGGUGGCCUCCCGCACUGCCUCUUUGCUCUAUAAAUACCCCAACAUUCUAGAAACCUAGGGGAGUCGACGAAAAUCAAUUCCAGCUGCUGCAAGUUCCAGAACCACCAGAUCCAAUCUAGACACCAUCACAGAGGGGUUCAUCAUCCUCAUUGGUGCCUUUCUGAUGAUGCGUGAGUAGUGCAUUGUAGACCUACGGGUCCAUAGUUAGUAGCUAGAUGGCUUCCUCUCGCUCUUUCUAUUCUCAAUACAAUGGUCUCUUGGACGUCUAUUGAUGUAACUCUUUUUGCGGUGUGUUUGUUGGGAUCCGAUGAACUUUGAGUUUAUGAUCAGAUCUAUGUUUUUAUCCAUGAAAGUUAUUUGAGUCUUUUGAUCUCUUAUAUGCAUGAUUACUUAUAGCCUCGUAUUUCUUCUUCGAAUAUUUGGUUUAGUUAGGCCAACUAGAUCGGUUUUUCUUGCCAUGGGAAGAGGUGCUUUGUGAUGGGUUCGGGUUCGAUCUUACGGUGCUUGAUCCCAGUGAUACAAGGGGAACCAACACACAUGUAUUGUUUCUAUUAAGGAUAACAAGAUGGGCUCUAUUUCUACAUAAAUAGAUCUUGUCUACAUCAUGUCAUCGUUCUUAUUGCAUUACUCUAUUUCUCCAUGAACUUAAUACACUAGAUGCAUGCUAGAUAGCGGUCGAUGUGUGGAGUAAUAGUAGUAGAUGCAGGCAGUAGUCGGUCUACUAAUCUUGGACGUGAUGCCUAUAUAAUGAUCAUUGCCUGGAUAUCGUCAUGAUUAUUUGAAGUUCUAUCAAUUGCCCAAAAGUAAUUUGUUUACCCACAGUAUGCUAUUUUUCUCGAGAGGAGCCACUAGUGAAAUCUACGGCCCUCGGGUCUUUUCUUUAUUAUAUUUGCCUUCGCGAUCUAUUUUUAUUUGCUUUUAUUUUCAGAUAUAUUAAUCCAAAAAAUACAAAAAUACCUUGCUGCAAUUUUUAUUAAUUAUUUUAUCUCACGUUCCCGUGAGAUCUAUUUAUCCAAUCUACUACAAUUUUACCUAUCUUUUUACCUGUGAGGGAUUGCCAACCCCUCUCUUACAUCAGGUUGCAAGUAUUUGUUCUUUGUGUGCAGGAGCUUUUUACGUGGUGUUGCGUGGUUCUCCUACUGGUUCGAUAACGUUGAUCUCAUCACUGAGGGAAAUACAUAUCGUUGUUGUGCUGCAUCAUCCCUUCCUCUUUGGGGAAAUACCGACGUAGUUCAAGCCAACAUCAGUGUACAACCUCUUUUGUGGCGCCGAGGAGUCGGUGAGGAUGAUGUUGUUCCGGUGGAGCAGGUUAAGGCAGUGAUGUGGGGAUGGAUCAGCUGCGAUAGACGAGGCGAUCAUCGGAGCAGCUCCUUGGAGGUGGAGGACGAGGCGGCUGAACCGGUGGGACAACGAGAUCAACGACGGAUCCUCAUCCGAGGAGGUGGAUAAGGGAUGUCAUGCUGUUGCGGUGGACUACGUCGUCGGGCAAGAGGCUCCAGCUAGGCAAUGGUGGGUGGCGGACGGAGGAGGAUGGGGUUUCAUGGCUGGAGUAGAGAGGUUAUGGCGGCCUGGGAUUUUGGAGAAAAGGAGGUGAUGGGAGGGAGGAACCAUGACUUAGGGAUGCGCUUGACCAAAAUGAAGAGUGUGUUACAAAAGUACCUCCACCGGGUUGAACUAGCGGCCCUUUCGGCUCAGGGUUAGAAGGGGGAUUUCAUGUGUCGAGAUUUGGCAGCUGGAGGGAGUUUUCAUGCGCGUUGUAACUUCGGGAUAGCAAGGCGCGGGUUGUGAAGGCGCGAGUUUUGGGAGCACUAUAUCUGAAUUUUCGAGAUAUAACAAGGAGCGGGUUGAAUUUUACGGACAAGCCUAACGUGUAAUAUUGUACGUACCAAAUCAAUUCGCACUUCCCUCAACGAUAAAAAUGAAAAAAAAUAAAACUAUUCGCACCACACAAACCGAGAGUCUUGUCUCAUUUUACUGUACAAAUGCUAUUCAAAGCUAUGAAUCCAUGUUAUGUCCAAUUAAAUUUUUUUCGCUGGCUGUAUAAUGCAUCUAACCUACUCACACCAACAUUUUAGUGCAUUCCAAAUGUUUAUACUACUAUUGCAAUUCGAACUAAAUUUGAAUUCGUUUCUCUAUUUGAAUAAGAAUCUACAAUCAUGAUUGUUGCCAACUUAAACCAUCAUUCAUGUAUUAUCUUAACAACACACCACAUGAUUACUAUAGAGAUAGAUAUGAACUAUGUGUCCUAUAUGAACUCGAAUUCAAAUUUUUGAAUACACUUGAUGCUGAUUCCAAAUAAUAGUACAUUUGAUGUACUAACUAGAUCUUCAUAAUCUAAACCAUGUUCCGUGCGUACAUCGUGUUUAUCACACAAAGUAUAGUGCCCCGCCCUCUACAUUAUGACAAGUAUUUAGCCCUAAGCUGCAAAAGCCACACAUUAUCACAAAUUAUAAUAAAUGGUCUAUAUAUUGUAUGUAGUAUAACAUGUUCAUAACUACACCAUGCAUGCCACCAUUGUAUAUAUUCAUUCAUUCAUGCGUCGGUUUAAAACACUAUGAUAUCUUCUUCAAAUAUCUGAAUCCACUUUUUUUAUAAUGAAUUAUAAUCUCUAUUCAUCUUUUACACCCACACAAUCCUCUUCUCUUUGUAGCUAGCGCUAACUUUCUAUCGUGCAUGCACACGCCCGCCCCCUCUCACCCUCCCUUAGUGUCCCCUCCAUUGCGCACAUUCGUUAUUUGUCUUUAGGUCGUUCACCCACGGUGUGUGUAGGCCCCUCGGCUCCUUUUCGGCACACACAUCGGUCGAUAUACCUCUCUAGCCAAGUGUGCCUACCACAAACACACACUUCCCCUCUUCUCUUCUCACCGUCCAUGCCCCCCUAUGUCCAAUAUGGUUCCACGCAUGUGCACACUCCCACCCCUCUUUUCAUCGAUCUCAUACUCGCACACUCCUCCCCCUCGACAUAGUAGGCCUCUCGCACCACCUCCUAGCCACACCCCUCUCCCCCUGUCCGUUUCUCGGGACCUUAUUUGCUUCUAACACAUGCAUGCAUGUAUACCUACCGUCUCCCUACAUAUAGCUAGGUCGACUAUAAUUCUUUUUCCCCACGCAUCGAUCAACGUACCUCACUAGUUAUGUCUCUCCCUUUCUCCGACACAUGACGAUUGAUCUUCCUAUGUAGUUACAUCUGCUUACCACAAACAUACCAACCCCCUCAUCAUCCUUGCAUACCUCCCGGCCCGUCUCUCACAUGCACGUGCAUAAACAGGCAGACAUCUCCUCUCUUAUUGAUAUUGCACUCGUAUCCUCCAUUUGUCUAGCAGGCCUCUUCAUGAGAAGCAACUCCACCACCAACCCUUCGGCACUCUACCUUUGUCUCUCUCCCAACCUUAUUCCUCUGCUACACAUAUGCAUGGAUGCCGAUUGAUCUCCCUCAAUACAUAGCUAGGUGUCUCUCCUUCUCCACACAUAUACGAGUUCAUCUACCUCUCUAUAGUUAGGUCUCUGCCCCUCCCUGAUAGAGGCACAGGUGUCCCGUCUUUCGAUGAGAUGGUGGCUAUCGUUUUGGAGGAAAUCGACUUUGACGAUCCGACUACGAACGUGCGAGGACGUCGCGCCUUAGGAAUCGCUAAACCAACUCCGAGAGGUUAUUGACCACGCCGGAGCACGAUCAACCUGACCCUAAAGGUCUGUUUCCUGCAGGCAAACGAAGAACAAGCAAGAAACUAAGAUUGCAAUCUGGAUAUUGUGAAUAAAAGAGGAAAGCUUUAUUGAUCAAGGUGGUGUUCUGUGACGCCUUGGUCUGGUCGUUGAACACAAACGAAGUACGCGAAGUUGCAACUAUGGCAAACUUUUGAUCGAAACAAAAUCCAAAGUCUAAACGGUGCCCUAAGGGCUGUAUAUAUGGAGGAAGAGGGGGGAAUUUCGUGGCCCUUGGGGAAGGGGUCCGAAACCAACCCUAUCUCUUGUUUCCCCACACAUACGGACUCUAAAAACAGCCUAUACUUAUGUAUUUCGAAAUUACAUGGGCCUGGCCCAAUAAUAAGGUGAUGCAGCACCUAGAAUAGCCUCUCAACGAAGUUUAUGAAGUGGCAUCUUGUAUAUUUCGUCCAAGGCUUCAUGCACUCAUUAUGGUGGCUUCAAUGUCCUGAAAUCAUCACUUGUAACUCCAUUCUUGUUCCCCUUGCGCAUGCCAUCAACUCCAUGCUUGUUCUUACUCCAAUGUUCAUCACUCUUAUCCAUGCCAGGCCCUUCAUUUGUAAGCAAACCAAAUGUAUCCAAUUUAGGCAGCAUCAUAUUCUCAUGAACAUUAGAAUCAUUACCAAGAAACAAAAGUACCUGAUAAUUUAAUUGGCGUGCACGAGCUCUAGUAAUUGGUCCAGUAUAGGUAGUAGUAGGGGCUGUGGGUGUAACAAUGGUAUUGAUGUCCUCAUCAUCCUCCCCUUCUUGAAAUGAAGUCGUCCUCGAUGGAAGCUCAUCUUCCUCACCCAAAUAAGGCUUCAAAUCUGCAAUGUUAAAAGUGGGACUAACCCCAAAAUCUGCACGCAGCUCAAGUUUAUAUGCAUUAUCAUUUAUUUUCUCUAACACCUUAAAAGGACCAUCAGCACGUGGCAUUAGCUUUGAUUUGCGCAAAUUAGGAAACAUAUCCUUACGCAAAUGUAACCAAACAAGAUCUCCAGGUGCAAAGACAAUAUGUUUUCUAACCUUAUCUCUAGCAAGUUUAUAUUUAGCAUUCAUACGCUCAAUGUUGUCCUUAGUUAACUCAUGCAUUUUUAAGAUCAAUUCAACCCGUUGUUUAUCAUCAAAAUUAACCUUCUCCGAAGAUGGAAGAUGCAACAAAUCAAUGGGUGCACGAGGUAGGAAACCAUACACACUUUCAAAAGGGCACAUCUUAGUAGUAGAAUGCAACGAACGAUUAUAAGCAAAUUCAAUAUGAGGCAAGCAUUCUUCCCACAUUUUCUUAUUAUUCUUCAAAACAGCCCUAAGCAUAGUAGACAAUGUUCUAUUGACUACUUUAGUUUGACCAUCCGUUUGGGGGUGACAAGUAGUACUAAAAAGCAGUUUAGUCCCCAACUUAGCCCAUAAACAUCUCCAAAAGUAGCUAAGAAAUUUAGUAUCACAAUCUGAAACAAUAGUAUUUGGCACACCAUGCAAGCGAAUAAUUUCACGAAAGAACAAAUUAGCAACAUUAACAGCAUCAUCGCUUUUAUGACAUGGUAUAAAGUGUGCCAUUUUCGAGAAUCUAUCCACGACAACAAAUAUGCUAUCCCUCCCCUUCUUUGUUCGAGGUAAACCUAAAACAAAGUCCAUAGAUAUAUCCUCCCAAGGAACACUAGGCACAGGCAAAGGCAUAUAUAACCCAUGAGGAUUGAGUCAUGACUUAGCUUUUUGACAUGUAUUGCAGCGAGCAACAAAACGCUCAACAUCGCGUCUCAUCUUUGGCCAAAAGAAAUGUGUAGCAAGUAUGUCAUCCGUCUUCUUCACGCCAAAGUGUCCCAUUAAUCCUCCUCCACACGCCUCCUACAACAACAAAAGACGAACAGAGCUAGCAGGAAUGCAUAGCUUGUUAGCACGGAACACAAAGCCAUCAUUAAUAACGAACUUGUUCCAUGUUCUUCCUUCUUUACAAUUCUGCAUUACAUCUUUAAAAUCAGCAUCAUGCACAUAUUGAUCUUUGAUGGUCUCCAAACCAAAUUUUUUGAAGUCAAGUUGUGAAAGCAUAGUAUAGCGACGAGACAAAGCAUCAGCAAUAACAUUUUCUUUACCCUUCUUGUGUUUAAUGACAUAAGGGAAAGUCUCAAUGAAUUCAACACAUUUAGCAUGUCUACGAUUCAGUUUAGCUUGACUUUUAAUAUGUUUCAAAGAUUCAUGAUCAGAAUGUAUAACAAAUUCUUUGGGCCAUAAAUAAUGUUUCCAUGUCUCUAAAGUCCGAACAAGAGCAUAUAAUUCUUUAUCAUAAGUAGAAUAGUUCAGACUAGGCCCACUCAAUUUUUCAGAAAAGUAUGCAACAGGUUUGGCAUCUUGUAAUAACACAACUCCUAAUCCAAUUCCACUAGCAUCACAUUCAAGCUCAAAAGUCUUACUAAAGUCGGGAAGUUGGAGUAAAGGAGCAUGUGUCAACUUAUCUUUCAAUACCGUGAAGGCUUCUUCCUGUGCGGUACCCCAAAAAAAGGCACAUCCUUCUUUGUAAGCACAUUGAGAGGUGCAGCAAUGGUGCUAAAUCUCUCACAAAACGCCUAUAGAAACCAGCGUGUCCAAGAAAACUCCUCACUUGUGUGACCGUUUUGGGCUGCGACCAACUCUCAAUAGCUUCAAUCUUGGCUUUAUCAACUUCAAUUCCCUGUGGAGUAACAACAUAGCCAAGAAAAGAUACUCGGUCGGUGCAAAAGGUGCACUUCCCAAGGUUACCAAACAAACGUGCAUCACGUAGAGCAUUAAAAACAGCACAUAAAUGUUCCAAAUGCUCUUCCAAAGAUUUGCUAUAAAUCAGUAUAUCAUCAAAAUAGACUACCACAAAUCGUCCAAUGAAAGCACGUAAAACUUCGUUCAUUAUUCUCAUGAAACUACUAGGUGCAUUAGUUAACCCAAAAGGCAUGACUAACCACUCAUAUAAACCAAACUUAGUUUUAAAUGAUGUUUUCCAUUCAUCUCCCAAUUUCAUACGAAUUUGAUGGUAUCCACUACGCAAAUCAACUUUGGAGAAUAUUGUAGAGCCACUCAAUUCAUCAAGCAUAUCAUCUAGCCUAGGAAUAGGAUGAUGAUAACGAAUAGUAAUAUUAUUAAUGCCUCUACAAUCAACACACAUAUGCGACGUACCAUCCUUUUUAGGCACUAGUAUAAUAGGAACAGCACAAGGACUAAUAGAUUCGCGUAUAUAACCUUUGUCGAGCAGCUCCUGUACUUGACGCAUAAUCUCCUUCGUCUCCUCUGUAUUGGUACAGUAUGGUGCACGGUUGGGUAGCGAUGCACCGGGAAUUAAGUCAAUUUGAUGCUCAAUCCCUCGAAUAGGUGGUAAUCCCGGUGGCACGUCUUGUGGGAAGACGUCAGCGAACUCCUGCAAAAUGUUAGUGACAGCAGGGGGCAAAGAGGAAGGCACGUCCUCGAAUGAAAAUAAUGCCUCUUUGCACACAAAAGCAUAGCAAUCAGAUUUGCUAGAAUCUAGCUCAUCAAUAUCAGAUUUGGUGGCAAGUAAACAUGCACUUUUCAAUUUAAUUUCUGAAGCAAUAGUAGUUGGUUUAUUAUUAGGCUUCAUUUGUUGCUCAAAUUCUUUUGCCACAAUCUGAUUUUCACUCUUAUUUUUCUCAUGUUUUGCUUUAUUAGCUCUAGUAAUAUCAUCUUGCAAAAUGGAAUCAGGAGUCAUAGGAAGCAAAGUAAUAUUUUUAUCCUUAUGAACAAGAGUAUACUGAUUGUUUCUACCAUGGUGUACAGAAUUUUUAUCAAAUUGCCAUGGGCUACCAAGUAAUAAGGAACAUGCUUGCAUAGGUACCACAUCACAAUCAACAUAAUCAGCAUAUGUAGAGAUACUAAAAUGCACACAAACAGUACGUGUUACCUUAACCUUGCCGCUGUUGUUGAACCAUUGGAUGUAGUAAGGAUGUGGAUGUGGUCUUGUGGUGAGAGAUAGCUUCUCCACCAUCUCCAUGCUAGCCAAGUUGUUGCAGCUCCCUCCAUCUAUGAUGACGCGAAUAGAACAUUCCUUCACAACUCCCUUUGUAUGGAACAAAUUAUGCCUCUGAUUUUUCUCAGCUUGUGUAACCUGCACACUCAAAACACGUUGAGCAACUAAACAUUCAUACCUGUCAGCAUCUUCAGCAGCCAUGUAUUGCUUCUCAUGAUCAGAAUCAUCUCCACCGUGUUCUUCAUGUGUAAUAAGAGCCAAAGUCUCCUCAUCAUAGUCACUAGCGGACUCAUACCCACCAUCCUCAGUAACAAUCAUCACACGCUUAGAUGGGCAUUCUCUCGCAUAAUGACCUCCACCCUUGCAACGUCGACAAAUAAUAUCAUGUGUUUGCCCUGUUGAUGCCAUGGAUGAAGAAGAACUCUUUGCAGGCCCAGAAGGUGUGCUCUUGGCAAAUAGUGGUGAUUGUGCCUGCUUUAUUGUAUCACGGUUGGAGGUGGCAGCCGACGGGGGUGCCGGUGUAGCAGAACGUGUGGAAGUAGAUGAUGCACGUGGUGUCCAUGAUGAAGGUCGACCUGCAGAAAAGUUAGUCCGCGCCAAUGCCUAUCGAUCCUGCACUUCACGUUCAGCUUUACAAGCAAGAUGGAAUAAACGAGUGAUAUUAUUAUAACCCUUAUAGUCUAGAAUGGUUUGAAUCUCUCUAUUUAAUCCACCCAGAAAACGUGCAAGCAUAGCUUCAUUCUCCUCAACAAUACCACAUCUAAUCAAGCCAGUUUGUAAUUCCUGAUAAUAUUCUUCUACCGAAUUUUUUCCUUGUCUUAAGCACUGCAAUUUUUGAAGUAAUUCACAUUGAUAAUAUGGUGGAACCCAACGAGUACGCAUAGCAGUUUUCAAAGGAGCCCAAGUAGCUAGAACAUGAUAUAAUCGACAAUGUUCAGACCACCAAACACAUGUAAAGCUAGUGAAAGCACAAACAGCAGCAGGAACACGUCUCUCCUCGGGAUAUUGUAAACAUGUAAAUCGUUGUUCAGUUUCUAACUCCCAAGUAAGAUAUAUAUCAGGAACAUAUCUACCCUCAAAUGGUGGAAUAUGCAAUUUCAGUUUAUGGAGAUGGUCAUGAUCUCGUACCUGAGGGGGAGCCCUAACAUUGCCAUUAUUUGCAUGUGGAUGACCUGGUGGUUGUGGUGCUGGUGGUUGCACGUAGUUCUGAUUUUGAUCAACCUCAUCCUCGUAAUCUCCCACAUAAUCAUCCUCCUGCACAUCAGCAGCAGGAGCCAUAAAAGUAUCAAUAGCAGCACCAGCAGUUUGGCCAGGCUGAAGAGGGACACGGCUCGCUCGACAGAGGGUUGUUUCCCGACGUGGAGGUAGUCGUUGUUGUUUUUGUUGCAGAGGUGCGGCAGGUGCAGCCGGUGGUGGUGGUGGAAAACGCGAAAGCAAUUCAGCAAACUUGUUAUCGAGCUUUAUUUCAAACGUCUUCUCCAUGCCAUCUAUCUUCUCCAUGGCCUCGUCAAAUCUGUUUAGCACGUCUUGCACCUGUCCACUCAUCAUUUGCUGAAACUUAUCAUGAAGCUCCUUGUUCGUCAAGUUCUCCCAGUCAGUCUCAUCGGCUUGUGAUCCUGGCAUGGUUAGUAGCAGUAGAAACACAAAAGAAUAUGAUCCUACAGACUACUAACAAGUGGUGGUGGUGGCGGGUGUCACAAAUCCGUCAAGCAAAUCUCAAAUUCUUACCAGUUCUUACCCAGGAGCAGGCGGUGAUCGGCAACCGAUGUUGUCAAAACUCUCAAAGCUUGGAUAGAGCGAUUAUCAGGGAGAGUCAAACGCACGAUGUAGAUGUAUGUGGAGCUGGGAAGGCUUAUAAUAUGGUAGCACAAAGGGUCAACAAUAAUCAAUUUAGAGAUGCAAAGUUGAAUAAACGCUCAACGACGGUAUUGUGCUGGUCCUAGGCUAGACCGUACUAGAGACGCGAGCCUAGAACACUAACAAAAUCACGACGCUGCACGUAAACAAGGGAGGAGCACACUCUGAAUUUUUUUUUCCUUUUUUCACCUUUUUCCUCUCUUUUAUUUUUACUUUUUUCCUCUUUUUUUGCUCCUCAACAUUUUUUUUUCAAAAAAGUCUACACUGUCCUAAAAACUGCCUAGCGAGAAUUUUUCGGACUUAGUUUUUUUUGAAACUGGAACUAUUUUUCUUCUGCGGAUGGCUCCGAAGUUGGGGAGUUCUUCUCUAUCACGACUCAGAGUAUGGCGUGAUCUUGAAAUCCAAAAUAGAGUAACAAAAUACUGGACUCGGAAUAGGACUGGUGGCGGAGAUGAAUCUGGUGGAACUCGGACUGGUGGCGGAUAUAUGUUGCAGGUGGACUCGGAUUGGUGUGAUGGCGGUGGAUAUGUGGUGGCGUAUAUGGACUCGGAUUGGCGGUGAAUAUGUGGUAUAUGGCAGCAGCGAUGAUGAUGAUGCGGUGCUGAUAUAUGGCAGCGGCGACGUGACAACCUGUGAACAGAACUCGAAACUCUAAAGGACUAGACGCUAAAACCAGCAAUUUGACACGAUGAUGCAACCGCAAAUUCAACAAAGCAAAUACAGAAAAGAUUAUACAAAGGCUCAGAUUGGUUUGGAUGGGAUGAAGUAACCCUAAUUUUUUUGGCUUUUUCGUGGACUAUAGGUAUGAAGAACAAACUCGAUCUAAACUACGAAAAACUGUAAAAUCUCAUCGAGCAACCUGGAAAUCUGAUACCACUUGAUGGAGGCAAAGGUGUCCCGUCUUUCGAUGAGAUGGUGGCUAUCAUUUUGGAGGAAAUCGACUUUGACGAUCCGACUACGAACGUGCGAGGAUGUCGCGCCUUAGCAAUCGCUAAACCAACUCCGAGAGGUUAUUGACCACGCCGGAGCACGAUCAACCUGACCCCGAAGGUCUGUUUCCUGCAGGCAAACGAAGAACAAGCAAGAAACUAAGAUUGCAAUCUGGAUAUUGCAAAUAUAAGAGGAAAGCUUUAUUGAUCAAGGUGGGGUUCUGUGACGCCUUGGUCUGGUCGUUGAACACAAAUGAAGUACGCGAAGUUGCAACUAUGGCGCUUUUGAUCUAAACAAAACCCAAAGUCUAAACGGUGCCCUAAGGGCUGUAUAUAUGGAGGAAGAGGGGGGGAUUUCGUGGCCCUUGGGGAAGGGGUCCGAAACCAACCCUAUCUCUUGUUUCCCCACACAUACGGACUCUAAAAACAGCCUAUACUUAUGUAUUUCGAAAUUACAUGGGCCUGCCCAAUAAUAAGGUGACGCAGCACCUAGAAUAGCCUCUGGACGAAGUUUAUGAAGUGGCAUGUUGUAUAUUUCGUCCAAGGGUUCAUGCACUCAUUAUGGUGGCUUCAAUGUCCUGAAAUCAUCACUUGUAACUCCGUUCUUGUUCCCCUUGCGCAUGCCAUCAACUCCAUGCUUGUUCUUGCUCCAAUGUUCAUCACUCUUAUCCAUGCCAGGCCCUUCAUUUGUAAGCAAUACAAAUGUAUCCAAUUUAGGCAGCAUCAUAUUCUCAUGAACAUUAGAAUCAUUACCAAGAAACGAAAGUACCUGAUAAUUUAAUUGGCGUGCGUGAGCUCUAGUAAUUGGUCUAGUAUAGGUAGUAGUAGGGGCUGUGGGUGUAACAAUGGCAUUGAUGUCCUCAUCACUCCCCCCCCACACACCAAUAGUCGGACAUUGUAGGUAGGUAUCCAUGCCACAGAGACAAAAUGCACCUUUUCCCUCUCACAUUCCAUUAGGCCAGCUGCCCUGUAUCUUUGACGUGCGCAAAAAAAAAUUCGAUGGCACUCUUUAUCGAUCGCACACCCACACACUUCAUCCCUGUUUUCGAUUCUAUCGAUAUCUCACGCCGAUGAUCCCUCCACUCUCUUCUCAUGGAUAGCUCCGUCCAUAUAUGAUAAAUCCAUGACUCUGUUUCACACACUUUGCAUAUGUUACAUUUUUUUGUUUGAGAUAUCAUUGACACAUUGCCUCCGUUUCACACAAACCAUCUCUCUCACACCCACCCACGUAUGCACGUACCUGCACGUAAAGAAGAGGUGCACGCACGACACACAUACUCAUGUCUCGUUCCCGGCCACACCCAUGUGGGUACACGGUGGAGUUCAUUUCUAUACGAAAAGGCAGCCCACGUGAUAAUUUGAUGCAUGUAGCGGUUGUUUACUCGAAGGAGGGUUGUGUACCACGCAUAUACGGAACAAAGUUCAACUUGAUUUAUUAGUAUUAAAUAAAGUUGUAUUCCUCAAUGGCACGUACAGAAUAUAAAAUGAUUGUCAUCGGGAAAAAAGAAAUCUGCUCCACUAUAUACAAUGGAGCCUGCCUACCGGGGUUUGUCUCUCGUCACAUCUCACACAAGGCGGCGGUGGCCUCUCUCUCUCACCGUUGGUCACUGAUCCGGCUGCAUCCCGUCCACCGACAAAAAGGGAGGAUGUGCAUCAUUUCUCCAUUCGACGGCGUUGAGGCAGCACGUCCCGAUCUAUGGUACCCGCCGUUCUCUUCAUCAAGCUCCGGCGCGGUAGGGCCUUCACCACUUGCUCGCUGCUGCAGUAUGGGCAGUUCCCGUCUGCCGGCGCCCUCCUAGUUACACCCCGACGACCCUUAGGUACAGCUUCCUCUAGUCUUGCUCCACUGCCCAUCUUCCCACGUUGCUGCAUGUGGAAAAUCCUGCAUGCAGAUCUUCUUUAGUUCUUUGCUUAAAAUGUAUCUCGGCCGGUGUACUUAUCAUCUUGCAAUCUUGUCCUCAAACCAUUUUUGAUAAACCACCAUGCCGCUAUCUUUCCCUUAUGACAUGGAAUAUGCUUCUUUUUGUCGGUGUAUAUGUCUUCAACUCAUGUUAGAGGGCAGUAAUUGUUUCCUUUCCACCUCUUUUGCAAACAGGGCUAUCCAUUUCACCUCAUUCCUAUUGCGACCUUUUGGUGAACUGCACAAAUCACUUUUUUAUUAAGAGUGUUUUGUGCAGUUCCGCCAAAAUGUCACAUGGGCAACAUUUUUACAUUUUUGUGGGACUGCAGAAUGGGAGAUUGGUUUUGCUAUGCUCCUCAUCCAACUCCGUGCCUAAUCUUCUCCAAUGAGUAGUUAGUCCUAAAGAGAGAUCGCAGAGGUGAUCGGCUUCUAUUUGUGUGUGUUAUGUUUCAUCAUCUAGUUCCACUAUUAUUGUAAUCACACUGACUGAAUAUCUUUGCAAACAGGGAUGACCAACUCGAUUUUAGUGGAACUACACAAAAUGAUCGGAUCGUGAUGUCCUCCAUACACCUCUUUCUUGGCUACAGAGCUGCGUGAAACUAGCUACCAACCAAUGAACACUGUGCCCAGGAAAUGGAGCCAUGCCUACGAACAUCAUCGAUCAAUUAUAUAUUUUUCUUUAUUUGUACACCUUCUCACAACUUUGUCUUCAGUUGUGAUGUGAAUAUUGGCGCUGAUCUACGAACCAUUGAGAUGCAUUAGCAACCAUGGUAGUUUCAUUUGUAUUUGAUGGAAUGUUGUAAUGAGACAAUCUUGAGGCAAGAGGACACAUGAAUCCUAAGUUGAAACCUUUUUUUCUAUGGGAACCAAAGUUGAAACCUUCAUAGCAUCACAGUACAAUUUCAUUAUGCUGGGAAAUUAUGCGUACAUAUAAACAAAUCCUGAAAGAUUGAUAGCAAUGCCAGAAACAAUUCAACUUCAUUUCGCCGACAUAUGUGACAUCCUUCAUCCGGCUCCACCUGCCAUGCAGCAAUAUUGAGUGCACAACUACAUGGGAGAUUCACCCCAGUCGUUGCGCCACAGUAAUAAUGACUAGUGAGCAGUCAAAUCAUAGAGCCCCACCUUCGCCACAGUAAGUUGCUCGAACGAAGCAACCAUCAUUUCUCUCUUCAUUGAAUUCGCUGGUACUCCAAUAUCCCAGAGUAAUAAGUUGCUCGAGCGAAGCAACCAUCACUCCACCUUUCCCAUAGUAAGUACUACUCCCUCUGUCUAGGUGAAUAAGUCAUCUUAGGUUGUGCACCAUGACCAGGGAGGGGAAAACGAGAGAACUUAAUGUUUAUUUGCUAAUUAAUAGCACCGCAUGCAAUGAACUAACCACUGCAUGUGGUGUUUGGUAGUCUCGAGUCAUUGAAAACAUGCACGCCCCACAUCUCUUAUUGGUUGAUAGGUCAAGAAACAAGAACCGAGGUGGGAGUUAAUGCACCACGCCUAAGUGUUUUGGGAUUGUUUUGUUUUCGUAAGGUGACUUAUUGAUGAGGACAUCAAUACAAUUGUUACACCCACAGCCCCUGCUGCUAUACAUACUGGACCAAUUACUAGAGCUCGUGCAUGCCAACUAAAUUACCAGGUACUUCCGUUUCUUGGUAAUGAUUCUAAUGUUCAUGAGAAUAUGAUACUGCCUAAAUUGGAUACAUUUGUUUUGCUUACAAAUGAAGGGCCUAGCUUGGAGAAGGAUGAACAUUGGAGCAAGAACAAGCAUGGAGAUGACGGCAUGCGCAAGGGGAACAAGAACGGAGUUACAAGCGAUGAUUUCAGGACUUUGAAGCCACCAUAAUGGGUGCAUGAAGCCUUGGACGAAAUAUACAAGAUGCCACUUCAUAAAUUUCGUCCCGAGGCUAUUUUAGGUGCUGCGUCACCUUAUUAUUGGGCCAGGCCCAUGUAAUUUCGAAAUACAUAAGUAUAGGCUAUUUUUAG
RNAcentral lists this long non-coding RNA (41261 nucleotides) under Triticum aestivum (bread wheat). RNAcentral describes it as "long non-coding RNA (TAES_LNC014754)". The record is from RNAcentral. Lineage: Eukaryota; Viridiplantae; Streptophyta; Magnoliopsida; Poales; Poaceae.